RNAcentral lists this unclassified non-coding RNA (229 nucleotides) under rhizosphere metagenome. RNAcentral's name for it is "partial ribosomal RNA internal transcribed spacer region". The record is from RNAcentral.
GUUGGUGAACCAGCGGAGGGAUCAUUACAGAGUUGCAAAACUCCCAACCAUUGUGAACCUACCUCACCGUUGCUUCGGCGGGUGGCCCCGGGGCAACCCGGAGUCGCGCCGGCCCCGCUCCCGGGGCCCGGCAAACCCGUCAGAAGACCGAAACUCUUCGUCAUCAUUGGCCUCUCUGAGUAACUUAUACAAUAAGUCAAAACUUUCAACAACGGAUCUCUUGGUUCUG